GGCUCAGGAUGAACGCUGGCGGCGUGCUUAACACAUGCAAGUCGAACGGGAUCCCUGGCAGCUUGCUGCCGGGGUGAGAGUGGCGAACGGGUGAGUAAUGCGUGACCGACCUGCCCCAUGCACCGGAAUAGCUCCUGGAAACGGGUGGUAAUGCCGGAUGUUCCACAUGAGCGCAUGCGAGUGUGGGAAAGGCUUUUUGCGGCAUGGGAUGGGGUCGCGUCCUAUCAGCUUGUUGGUGGGGUAACGGCCUACCAAGGCGUUGACGGGUAGCCGGCCUGAGAGGGCGACCGGCCACAUUGGGACUGAGAUACGGCCCAGACUCCUACGGGAGGCAGCAGUGGGGAAUAUUGCACAAUGGGCGCAAGCCUGAUGCAGCGACGCCGCGUGCGGGAUGGAGGCCUUCGGGUUGUAAACCGCUUUUGUUCAAGGGCAAGGCACGGUCUUUGGCCGUGUUGAGUGGAUUGUUCGAAUAAGCACCGGCUAACUACGUGCCAGCAGCCGCGGUAAUACGUAGGGUGCAAGCGUUAUCCGGAUUUAUUGGGCGUAAAGGGCUCGUAGGCGGUUCGUCGCGUCCGGUGUGAAAGUCCAUCGCUUAACGGUGGAUCCGCGCCGGGUACGGGCGGGCUUGAGUGCGGUAGGGGAGACUGGAAUUCCCGGUGUAACGGUGGAAUGUGUAGAUAUCGGGAAGAACACCAAUGGCGAAGGCAGGUCUCUGGGCCGUUACUGACGCUGAGGAGCGAAAGCGUGGGGAGCGAACAGGAUUAGAUACCCUGGUAGUCCACGCCGUAAACGGUGGAUGCUGGAUGUGGGGCC
RNAcentral lists this ribosomal RNA (813 nucleotides) under Bifidobacterium pseudolongum. RNAcentral describes it as "bacterial SSU rRNA". It matches the Rfam family "Bacterial small subunit ribosomal RNA", at positions 21 to 829 of the family's 1533-position model. Lineage: Bacteria; Bacillati; Actinomycetota; Actinomycetes; Bifidobacteriales; Bifidobacteriaceae. The record is from RNAcentral.